GUAGUCUCGCACAGAUGCAUAUCAAUAAGCGGAGGAAAAGAAACUAACAAGGAUUCCCCUAGUAACGGCGAGUGAAGCGGGAAGAGCUCAAAUUUGAAAUCUUAAAGGGUUUCCCUUUACGAAUUGUAGUUUAAAGAAGUGUUUUCUGUUGAGGUUUUGGUAAAAGUUCUUUGGAAUAGGACAUCAUAGAGGGUGAGAAUCCCGUAUUUGACCUUUACUUUCAACUUUGUGAUACACUUUCAAAGAGUCGGAUUGUUUGGGAAUGCAGUCCAAAAUGGGUGGUAAAUUUCAUCUAAAGCUAAAUAUUGGCGAGAGACCGAUAGCGAACAAGUACCGUGAGGGAAAGAUGAAAAGAACUUUGAAAAGAGAGUUAAACAGUACGUGAAAUUGUCAAAAGGGAAGCGUUUGACACCAGUGUUGUUUUUCUGAAAAUCAACUAAAGAACUGUUUAUGCUAAGUUGUUUAGACUUUAUCAGCUAAUCUGCUUAGUUUUGAGCUUUUCUUUAAUGCACUUUUCAGUUAACAAGUCAACAUCAAUUUCCUUUGCUGUAAAAAAGCUUGAGGAAGGUGGCUUGAGAUUCGUCUUAAGUGUUUAUAGCCUCUUGCCUAUGCAGUCGGAGAGAUUGAGGUCUGCAGCGUAGAUCCUUCGGGGCUAAAUGCAUUUGUGCUAAUGUUAUAGCACUUUAUAGACAACUUGUUGACUAUGAUUUGUCUUGUAGCUUACUCGCUUAUGUUAUUUUACCUACGCUUAGGAUGUUGACGCAUGAGAUAUACGC
RNAcentral lists this ribosomal RNA (776 nucleotides) under uncultured Neocallimastigales. RNAcentral describes it as "partial large subunit ribosomal RNA". It matches the Rfam family "Eukaryotic large subunit ribosomal RNA", at positions 24 to 647 of the family's 3401-position model. The record is from RNAcentral. Lineage: Eukaryota; Fungi; Neocallimastigomycota; Neocallimastigomycetes; Neocallimastigales.